Molecule: ribosomal RNA, 253 nt
Filed under: uncultured bacterium
Lineage: Bacteria
Description: partial 16S ribosomal RNA
Rfam family: Bacterial small subunit ribosomal RNA
Source: RNAcentral
GACGAACCGUCCAAACGUUAUUCGGAAUCACUGGGCUUACAGAGUUCGUAGGCGGUCUGGAAAGUUGGGUGUGAAAUCCCUCGGCUCAACCGAGGAACUGCGCUUGAAACUACCAGACUCGAGGGAGAUAGAGGAAAGCGGAACUGAUGGUGGAGCGGUGAAAUGCGUUGAUAUCAUCAGGAACACCGGUGGCGAAGGCGGGUCUCUGGGCCGUAACUGACGCUGAGGAGCGAAAGCGUGGGGAGCGAACAGG